RNAcentral lists this ribosomal RNA (460 nucleotides) under uncultured bacterium. Its description in RNAcentral is "partial 16S ribosomal RNA". It matches the Rfam family "Bacterial small subunit ribosomal RNA", at positions 338 to 795 of the family's 1533-position model. The record is from RNAcentral.
CCUACGGGAGGCUGCAGUGAGGAAUAUUGGUCAAUGGACGAGAGUCUGAACCAGCCAAGUAGCGUGAAGGAUGACUGCCCUAUGGGUUGUAAACUUCUUUUAUAGAGGAAUAAAGUGCUCCACGUGUGGGAUUUUGUAUGUACUUUAUGAAUAAGGAUCGGCUAACUCCGUGCCAGCAGCCGCGGUAAUACGGAGGAUCCGAGCGUUAUCCGGAUUUAUUGGGUUUAAAGGGAGCGUAGGUGGAUUGUUAAGUCAGUUGUGAAAGUUUGCGGCUCAACCGUAAAAUUGCAAUUGAUACUGGCAGUCUUGAGUACAGUAGAGGUGGGCGGAAUUCGUGGUGUAGCGGUGAAAUGCUUAGAUAUCACGAAGAACUCCGAUUGCGAAGGCAGUUCACUGAACUGCAACUGACAUUGAGGCUCGAAAGUGUGGGUAUCAAACAGGAUUAGAUACCCCAGUAGUC